Molecule: ribosomal RNA, 301 nt
Filed under: uncultured bacterium
Lineage: Bacteria
Description: partial 16S ribosomal RNA
Rfam family: Bacterial small subunit ribosomal RNA
Source: RNAcentral
CAGUAGCCGCGGUAAUACGUAGGUGGCAAGCGUUGUCCGGAAUUAUUGGGCGUAAAGGGCUCGCAGGCGGUUUCUUAAGUCUGUUGUGAAAGCCCCGGGCUCAACCUGGGAAUGGCAAUGGAUACUGGCGAGCUAGAGUGUGUCAGAGGAUGGUGGAAUUCCCGGUGUAGCGGUGAAAUGCGUAGAGAUCGGGAGGAACAUCAGUGGCGAAGGCGGCCAUCUGGGACAACACUGACGCUGAGGCACGAAAGCGUGGGGAGCAAACAGGAUUAGAUACCCCCGUAGUCCCUGUCUCUUAUAC